Brassica oleracea var. oleracea is the source of this 1137-nucleotide long non-coding RNA. RefSeq lists it as uncharacterized. The transcript has 4 exons. Lineage: Eukaryota; Viridiplantae; Streptophyta; Magnoliopsida; Brassicales; Brassicaceae. The record is from RefSeq and is a predicted model, not a curated record.
UUUAAGAAAAAUAAUUAAAGGACAACGAAAGAAAUCAGUAACUUUACCUUCUUGGAGAUUUCUGUAGAAGCUUCUUCAAAAUCAACAAUCGGAUGUUCAUGUUGGAUAAAGAACCCGACUACAUAAGAUGGCAUUAGAGGUAGGAUAAACAGAAUCACAGGAAAUCUAAAAAUUUCGUGUGUGAAUCAGAGAAAAACACCAAAUCUAAAACCUAAGGAACAGUUCACCUCCAAUUAAGAACUUCAGCCAUGGAGACCGUUUAUGUAACGUACAAUAAAUCAAAACACAAGGGGUACUGAUUUAUUCAAAAUGAAGAGAAGCUUGAGUGCCAAGCUUUAUUCAGAGAAACCAUUGUUGAGAAAUAGUUGGAAGGAAUGUAACCAGAGAACUGGUUGCCUGAUGAAUAAAUAGAUUUCAGACCGGUUAAUCUCAGGAUUUGUGGUUGCUGGCUCUGUCUCUGAGGAAAAGGAAUAGGAAACAUGUGGUUGGUGGUUCAUGAUGAUAAACUAAAUCGAGAACUCUAAAUGUACAGGGGUUUGCUCAUGCUUAUAAGGUGAUAAGGGCUGAGGUAAGUUGACUGCAUUAUCAGUUUUCCGUAACGGUUGUGAGUUACACGUUUGGUUUUAUUGUUCUGAGUUAAUCAAAUUGUUGUUAUGACUUCUGACUCUCCUUCUUUCUGUUGUUUGAUGCGCACAGCUCUAUAUUCUUGUGUGUAUGGGUUUAACUUCAGCCGGUCUGAUAUUUUGAAAUGGUAAUUAAAAGACUUGCUUAUGAUAAACAAAUCAAAUAGAGACGCCAUUAUGAUUGAUGCAUUCGAUGUUUUUUUUUUUUAAUCACAAUAUUUUUCUGAUAUAGCAGUGCUUACUCUACUAAUUCUUUCCUUACUCUACUCAGGUUUCUCCUAUUACUGCAACCAUGCCCGUCUUAUUAUUUAUAUGAACCUUGGGCAAAUUUUAGUUCUAUGAGGACAAACAAAAAAGUUUUGCAAAAUGAAUCUUAAACUAUUGAAAUCUUUAAUUGUUAUAAGAUAUUUUUCAAAACUUUUUGGAUCUAAUGCAAAUGUUCCUUUUGCAUAUGCCUAGAGAAGAAACUGGAACUUAAAAUUGACCAACUAUGAGAUUUAUAUUCGAGUCUUUG